Molecule: transfer RNA, 74 nt
Filed under: Stegodyphus mimosarum
Lineage: Eukaryota; Metazoa; Arthropoda; Arachnida; Araneae; Eresidae
Rfam family: tRNA
About the family: Transfer RNA (tRNA) molecules are approximately 80 nucleotides in length. Their secondary structure includes four short double-helical elements and three loops (D, anti-codon, and T loops). Further hydrogen bonds mediate the characteristic L-shaped molecular structure. tRNAs have two regions of fundamental functional importance: the anti-codon, which is responsible for specific mRNA codon recognition, and the 3' end, to which the tRNAs corresponding amino acid is attached (by aminoacyl-tRNA synthetases). tRNAs cope with the degeneracy of the genetic code in two manners: having more than one tRNA (with a specific anti-codon) for a particular amino acid; and 'wobble' base-pairing, i.e. permitting non-standard base-pairing at the 3rd anti-codon position.
Source: Rfam by way of RNAcentral
GCCUUCGUAGUGUAGUGGUUCAGCACACUCGACGGGUAACCGAAAGGUCCGUGGUUCGAUUCCCGGAGAAGGCG